AGAGUUUGAUCAUGGCUCAGAGCGAACGCUGGCGGCGUGCUUAACACAUGCAAGUCGAGUGCGCAGCUUCUGUAGCAAUACAGGAGUGGGNNNACGGCGCACGGGUGCGUAACACGUGGCAACAUGCCCUUGGAUGGGGAAUAACCCGCCGAAAGGCGGGCUAAUACCGCAUAAAAUUCCUGGAACCUUGGUUUCGGGACUCAAAGCCGUAAGGCGUCUGAGGAGUGGCCCGCGCACGAUUAGCUUGUUGGCGAGGUAACGGCUCACCAAGGCUUUGAUCGUUAGCCGGUCUGAGAGGAUGGCCGGCCACACUGGAACUGAGACACGGUCCAGACUCCUACGGGAGGCAGCAGUGGGGAAUCUUGCGCAAUGGGCGAAAGCCUGACGCAGCGACGCCGCGUGGGGGAUGACGCUUUUCGGAGUGUAAACCCCUUUCGACCGAGACGAAUGCCCCGCAAGGGGAGUGACGGUACCGGUAGAAGAAGCCCCGGCUAACUACGUGCCAGCAGCCGCGGUAAUACGUAGGGGGCCAGCGUUGCUCGGAAUAACUGGGCGUAAAGGGUUCGUAGGCGGUGUGGCAAGUUGGGAGUGAAAUCUCUCGGCUUAACUGAGAGACUGCUUUCAAAACUGCCAUGCUAGAGUACGGGAGAGGUCAGUGGAAUUGCAGGUGUAGCGGUGAAAUGCGUAGAUAUCUGCAGGAACACCCGUGGCGAAGGCGGCUGACUGGACCGUUACUGACGCUGAAGAACGAAAGCUAGGGGAGCAAACAGGAUUAGAUACCCCCGUAGUCC
This 791-nucleotide ribosomal RNA is filed under the name uncultured bacterium. Its description in RNAcentral is "bacterial SSU rRNA". It matches the Rfam family "Bacterial small subunit ribosomal RNA", at positions 8 to 796 of the family's 1533-position model. The record is from RNAcentral.